UUGAGGUUGUGGCAAUUGUUAAACUUGAGAAUCGGGUGUGGUUGAACUUGAGUUUGUGGUGUUCAUUGAACUUGAGUUUGUGGAAUAUUUGAACUUGAGUUUAUUAUGUUUUUUGAACUUGAGGUUCUGGUGUUUUUGAACUUGAGUUUGUGUGUUUUUUGAACUUGAGGUUGUGGAAAUUGUUAAACUUGAGAAUUGGGUGUUGCUUGAACUUGACUUGUUGUGUUUGUUGAACUUGAGUUUGUGUCGUUUUAGAACUUCAGUUUGUGUGGUGUUUUUGAAGUUGAGUUUGUGGCGUUUGUUGAACUUGAGUUUGUGGCGUGUUUGAACUUGAGUUUGUGUUGUUUUUUGAACUUGAGGUUGUGGAAAUUGUUAAACCUGAGAAUCGGGUGUUGGUUGAACUUGAAACUGUGACAUUUGUUGAACUUGAGUUUGUGGUGUUUGUUGAACUUGAGUUUGUAUCGUGUUUGAAUUUGAGUUUGUGGUGUUUUAGAACUUCAUUUUGUGGCACUUUUUUAACUUGAGUUUGUUGAACUUGAGUUUUUGGCAAUUGUUUAAUGUGAAUAUAGGUCAUUUGUUGAAUUUGAAAUUUUGUCAUUUUUUUAACUUAAGCUUGUGGUGUUUGAUGAACUUGAGUUUGUGGCAAUUGUUAACCUUGAGUCUGUAUUUUUCUCUGAACUUUACUUGGUGGCAAUUGUUGAACUUGAGUUUGUGGUGUUUGUUGUACUUGAGUUUGUGGCGUGUUUGAACUUGAGUUUCUGUUGGUUUUGAACUUGAGGUUGUGGAAAUUGUUAAACUUGAGAUUUGGGAUUUGGUUGAACCUGAGUUUGUGAAUCGUGUUUGAACUUGAGUUUGUGGUGUUUUUGAUCUUAAGCUUUUGUGUUUUUUGAACUGAAGUUUGUGGCAAUUGUUAAACUUGUGACUUAGGUGUUGGUUGAACUUGAGUUUGUGGUGUUUUUGAACUUGACUUUGUGAAGUGUUUGAACUAGAUUUUCUGGUUAUUUUUUAACUUGAGUCUGUGUGUUUUUCUAACUUGAGGUUGUGGAAAUUGUUAAACUUGCGAAGUGGGCAUUGGUUGAACUUGAGUUCGUGGUGUUUGUUGAACUGGAGUUUUUGUCAUUUAGAACUUGAGUUUGUGGUGUUUUUGAACUUGAGUUUUUGGCGUUUGUUGAACUUAAGUUUUUGUCGUUUUGAACUUGAGUUUGUGGUGUUUUUGAACUUGAGGUUUUGGCAGAUGUUAAACUUGAUAUUUGGGUGUUGUUUGAACUUGAGUUUGUGUCGUGUUUGAACUUGAGUUUGUGUCGUGUUUGAACUUGAGUUUGUGUCGUGUUUGGACUUGAGGUUGUGGAAAUUGUUAAACGUGAGAAUUGGGUAUUGGUUAAACUUGAGUUUGUGUGUUUGUUGAACCUGAGUUUGUGUCGUGUUUGAACUUGAGAUUUUGCUGUUUUGUGAUCUUGAAUUUCUGUGUUUUUUUUUUAACUUGAGUUUUUGGUGUUUUUGAAUUUGAGUUUCUGUUGUUUUUGAACAUGAGGUUGUGGCAAUUUGUUAAACUUGAGAUUUGGGUGUUGUUUGAACUUGAGUUUGUGUCGUGUUUGAACUUGAGUUUUUGUCGUGUUUGAACUUGAGUUUGUGUCGUGUUUGAACUUGAGUUUGUGUCAUGUUUGAACUUGAGUGUUGUGUUUGAACUUGAGUUUGUUGCAAUUUUUGAACUUGAGUUUUUAACUUGAGUCUGGUUUUUAGUGAACUUUAUUUGGUGGCAAUUGUUAAACUUGAGUUUGUGUGUUUGUUGAACCUGAGUUUGUGUCGUGUUUGAACUUGAGAUUUUGCUGUUUUGUGAUCUUGAAUUUGUGUGGGUUUUUUUUAACUUGAGUUUUUGGUGUUUUUGAAUUUGAGUUUCUGUUGUUUUUGAACAUGAGGUUGUGGCAAUUUGUUAAACUUGAGAUUUGGGUGUCGGUUGAAAUUAAGUUUCGGCAUUUUUGAACUUGAGUUUGUGGUGUUUUUGAACUUGAAUUUGUGUGUUUUUUGAACCUGAGUUUGUUGAACUUGAGUUUUUGGCAAUUCUUUAAUGUUAAUAUAGGUUAUUUGUUGAAUUUGAAAUUUUGGCAUUUUUUGAACUUAAGCUUGUGGUGUUUGUUGAACUUGAGUUUGUGGCAAUUGUUAACAUUGAGUCUGUAUUUUUCUCUGAACAUUAGUUGGUGGCAAUUGUUGAACUUGAGUUCGUGUGUUUGUUGAACUUGAGUUUUUGUCGUUUAGAACUUGAGUUUGUGGUGUUUUUGAACUUGAGGUUUUGGCAAAUGUUAAACUUGAUAUUUGGGUGUUGUUUGAACUUGAGUUUGUGCCGUGUUUGAACUUGAGUUUGUGUCGUGUUUGAACUUGAGUUUGUGUCGUGUUUGAACUUGAGUUUGUGUCAUGUUUGAACUUGAGUGUUGUGUUUGAACUUGAGUUUGUUGCAAUUUUUGAACUUGAGUUUUGAACUUGAGUCUUUGGUUUUUAGUGAACUUUAUUUGGUGGCAAUUGUUAAACUUGAGUUUGUCGCGUGUUUGAACUUGAGUUUGUGUUGUUUUUUAACUUGAGGUUUUGGCAAUUGUUAAUCUUUAGAUUUGGGUGUUGGUUGAACUUAAAACUUUGACAUUUGUUGAACUUGACUUUGUGGUGUUCAUUUAACUUGAGUUUGUGGUGUUUUUGAACUUGAAUUUUUGUGUUUUUUUGAACUUGUGUUUGUGGUAUUUUUGAACUUGAAUUUGUGUGUUUUUUGAACUUGAGGUUGUUGCAAUUUUUGAACUUGAGUUUGUUGAACUUGAGUUUUUGGCAAUUCUUUAAUGUUAAUAUAGGUUAUUUGUUGAAUUUGAAAUUUUGGCAUUUUUUGAACUUAAGCUUGUGGUGUUUGUUGAACUUGAGUUUGUGGCAAUUGUUAACAUUGAGUCUGUAUUUUUCUCUGAACAUUAGUUGGUGGCAAUUGUUGAACUUGAGUUCGUGUGUUUGUUGAACUUGAGUUUUUGUCGUUUAGAACUUGAGUUUGUGGUGUUUUUGAACUUGAGGUUUUGGCAAAUGUUAAACUUGAUAUUUGGGUGUUGUUUGAACUUGAGUUUGUGUCGUGUUUGAACUUGAGUUUGUGUCGUGUUUGAACUUGAGUUUGUGUCAUGUUUGAACUUGAGUGUUGUGUUUGAACUUGAGUUUGUUGCAAUUUUUGAACUUGAGUUUUUAACUUGAGUCUUUGGUUUUUAGUGAACUUUAUUUGGUGGCAAUUGUUAAACUUGAGUUUGUGUGUUUGUUGAACCUGAGUUUGUGUCGUGUUUGAACUUGAGAUUUUGCUGUUUUGUGAUCUUGAAUUUGUGUGGGGUUUUUUUAACUUGAGUUUUUGGUGUUUUUGAAUUUGAGUUUCUGUUGUUUUUGAACAUGAGGUUGUGGCAAUUUGUUAAACUUGAGAUUUGGGUGUCGGUUGAAAUUAAGUUUCGGCAGUUUUGAACUUGAGUUUGUGGUGUUUUUGAACUUGAAUUUGUGUGUUUUUUGAACCUGAGUUUGUUGAACUUGAGUUUUUGGCAAUUCUUUAAUGUUAAUAUAGGUUAUUUGUUGAAUUUGAAAUUUUGGCAUUUUUUGAACUUAAGCUUGUGGUGUUUGUUGAACUUGAGUUUGUGGCAAUUGUUAACAUUGAGUCUGUAUUUUUCUCUGAACAUUAGUUGGUGGCAAUUGUUGAACUUGAGUUCGUGUGUUUGUUGAACUUGAGUUUUUGUCGUUUAGAACUUGAGUUUGUGGUGUUUUUGAACUUGAGGUUUUGGCAAAUGUUAAACUUGAUAUUUGGGUGUUGUUUGAACUUGAGUUUGUGCCGUGUUUGAACUUGAGUUUGUGUCGUGUUUGAACUUGAGUUUGUAUCGUGUUUGAACUUGAGUUUGUGUCAUGUUUGAACUUGAGUGUUGUGUUUGAACUUGAGUUUGUUGCAAUUUUUGAACUUGAGUUUUGAACUUGAGUCUUUGGUUUUUAGUGAACUUUAUUUGGUGGCAAUUGUUAAACUUGAGUUUGUCGCGUGUUUGAACUUGAGUUUGUGUUGUUUUUUAACUUGAGGUUUUGGCAAUUGUUAAUCUUUAGAUUUGGGUGUUGGUUGAACUUAAAACUUUGACAUUUGUUGAACUUGACUUUGUGGUGUUCAUUUAACUUGAGUUUGUGGUGUUUUUGAACUUGACUUUGUGGUGUUCAUUUAACUUGAGUUUGUGGUGUUUUUGAACUUGAAUUUGUGUGUUUUUUGAACUUGAGGUUGUUGCAAUUUUUGAACUUGAGUUUGUUGAACUUGAGUUUUUGGCAAUUGUUAAAUGUGAGUUUAGGUCAUUUGUUGAAUUUGAAAUUUUGGCAUUUUUUGAACUUAAGAUUGUGGUGUUUGUUGAACUUGAGUUUGUGUCAAUUGUUGAACUUGAGUCUGUAUUUUUCUCUGAACUUUAGUUUGAAUUUUUGUGUGUUUUUUGAAUUUAAGUUUGUGGCAAUUGUUAAACUUGAGAUUUGGGUUUUGGUUGAACUUGAGUUUGUGGUGUUUUUGAACUUGAGUUUGUGUGUUUGUUUAACUUGAGUUUGUGGCAUGUUUUGACUUGAGUUUGUGUGUUUGUUUAACUUGAGUUUGUGGCGUGUUUUGACUUGAGUUUCUGUUGUUUUUGAACUUGAGGUUGUGGCAAUUGUCAAACUUGAGAUUUGGGAUUUGCUUGAACUUGAGUUUGUGUCGUGUUUGAACUUUGGUUUGUGGUGCUUUUUAACUUGAGUUUGUGGCGGUCUUGAGCUUGAGUUUGUGGCGUGUUUUAACCUGAAUUUUUGUUGUUUUUCUUACUUGAGGCUUCGGCAAUUGUUAAACUUUAGAUUUGGGUGUUGGUUGAACUUGAGUUUGUGGUGUUUUUGAACUUGAGUUUGUGGCGUGUUUGAACUUGAGUUUCUGUUGGUUUUGAACUUGAGGUUGUGGAAAUUGUUAAACUUGAGAUUUGGGAUUUGGUUGAACCUGAGUUUGUGAAUCGUGUUUGAACUUGAGUUUGUGGUGUUUUUGAUCUUAAGCUUUUGUGUUUUUUGAACUGAAGUUUGUGGCAAUUGUUAAACUUGUGACUUAGGUGUUGGUUGAACUUGAGUUUGUGGUGUUUUUGAACUUGACUUUGUGAAGUGUUUGAACUAGAUUUUCUGGUUAUUUUUUAACUUGAGUCUGUGUGUUUUUCUAACUUGAGGUUGUGGAAAUUGUUAAACUUGCGAAGUGGGCAUUGGUUGAACUUGAGUUCGUGGUGUUUGUUGAACUGGAGUUUUUGUCAUUUAGAACUUGAGUUUGUGGUGUUUUUGAACUUGAGUUUUUGGCGUUUGUUGAACUUAAGUUUUUGUCGUUUUGAACUUGAGUUUGUGGUGUUUUUGAACUUGAGGUUUUGGCAGAUGUUAAACUUGAUAUUUGGGUGUUGUUUGAACUUGAGUUUGUGUCGUGUUUGAACUUGAGUUUGUGUCGUGUUUGAACUUGAGUUUGUGUCGUGUUUGGACUUGAGGUUGUGGAAAUUGUUAAACGUGAGAAUUGGGUAUUGGUUAAAC
This 5535-nucleotide long non-coding RNA is filed under the name Xyrichtys novacula (pearly razorfish). Lineage: Eukaryota; Metazoa; Chordata; Actinopteri; Labriformes; Labridae. The record is from RNAcentral.